This 447-nucleotide ribosomal RNA is filed under the name uncultured bacterium. RNAcentral describes it as "bacterial SSU rRNA". It matches the Rfam family "Bacterial small subunit ribosomal RNA", at positions 329 to 793 of the family's 1533-position model. The record is from RNAcentral.
UGCCAGACUCCUACGGGAGGCAGCAGUGGGGAAUAUUGCACAAUGGGGGAAACCCUGAUGCAGCGACGCCGCGUGAGUGAGGAAGUAUUUCGGUAUGUAAAGCUCUAUCAGCAGGGAAGAAAAUGACGGUACCUGACUAAGAAGCCCCGGCUAACUACGUGCCAGCAGCCGCGGUAAUACGUAGGGGGCAAGCGUUAUCCGGAUUUACUGGGUGUAAAGGGAGCGUAGACGGUGAUGCAAGUCAGAAGUGAAAGCCCGGGGCCCAACUCCGGGACUGCUUUUGAAACUGUGUAACUGGAGUGCAGGAGAGGUAAGCGGAAUUCCUGGUGUAGCGGUGAAAUGCGUAGAUAUCAGGAGGAACACCAGUGGCGAAGGCGGCCUGCUGGACUGCAACUGACGUUGAGGCCCGAAAGCGUGGGGAGCAAACAGGAUUAGAUACCCCUGUAU